Long non-coding RNA from Microplitis mediator, 474 nucleotides. RefSeq lists it as uncharacterized. NCBI's taxonomy places the organism in Eukaryota, Metazoa, Arthropoda, Insecta, Hymenoptera, Braconidae. The record is from RefSeq and is a predicted model, not a curated record. The transcript is spliced from 3 exons.
ACCAGCAAUGUCUUAUUUUAUUGGCUGAGACAGUCCCCCUUAUAUUUAUUGUUUUCGUUUAAAUACCGACCGAAAAUUUGAUUUUAUAUCCACUGUCUUGAUCGUAACUUCGGAGACAACUUAAAUAUUCUCUAACUGAAGAUUCAACUGAGUUAUCAUUCAAAAAUGUCAAAGAUACUGUUUGGAAUAAUCGGCAUUUUGGUCGUCAUUGCAAUUAUGCAAGUGACCGUUGAAGCCUGUAAAGUGCAAGGAGAAUCUUGUAGUUAUAAUUCCGAAUGCUGUGGGAGAUACACAUGUAGUUAUUACCAAUGGAGUGAUGAAUCCAUUGGAAGAGUAUGUGAAUACAAAGCUCCAGAUAACUGGUAAUAAAUCAAAUGUUGUUAACAGUAAAAUAAUAAUUUGGUGGUAAAAUUCAUCAGGAGUUGAAGACAUCUAAAAAAAAAUUUGUAUUUCUUGAAAGUUAAUUAUUUGUAA